GCCCAACCAGUAGGGAGGAUAUGACCCUCGGUUCGUAACCGAGUGGGCUCGGGUUCGAAUCCCGAGUAAGGCA
Trichonephila clavipes is the source of this 73-nucleotide non-coding RNA. Lineage: Eukaryota; Metazoa; Arthropoda; Arachnida; Araneae; Nephilidae. The record is from the annotation of a GenBank genome assembly.